GGCUCAGAUUGAACGCUGGCGGCAUGCUUUACACAUGCAAGUCGAACGGUAACAGGCCUUCGGGCGCUGACGAGUGGCGAACGGGUGAGUAAUGCAUCGGAACGUGCCCAGAGGUGGGGGAUAACGCAGCGAAAGCUGUGCUAAUACCGCAUACGAUCUAUGGAUGAAAGCGGGGGAUCGCAAGACCUCGCGCGAUUGGAGCGGCCGAUAUCAGAUUAGCUAGUUGGUGGGGUAAAGGCUCACCAAGGCGACGAUCCAUAGCUGGUCUGAGAGGAUGAUCAGCCACACUGGGACUGAGACACGGCCCAGACUCCUACGGGAGGCAGCAGUGGGGAAUAUUGGACAAUGGGCGAAAGCCUGAUCCAGCAAUGCCGCGUGAGGGAAGAAUGCCUAUGGGUUGUAAACCUCUUUUUUCAGGGAGGAAUAAAAUGACGUGUACCUGAAGAAUAAGCAUCGGCUAACUCCGUG
This 468-nucleotide ribosomal RNA is filed under the name uncultured bacterium. Its description in RNAcentral is "bacterial SSU rRNA". It matches the Rfam family "Bacterial small subunit ribosomal RNA", at positions 21 to 507 of the family's 1533-position model. The record is from RNAcentral.